This 548-nucleotide ribosomal RNA is filed under the name uncultured bacterium. RNAcentral's name for it is "partial 16S ribosomal RNA". It matches the Rfam family "Bacterial small subunit ribosomal RNA", at positions 355 to 895 of the family's 1533-position model. The record is from RNAcentral.
UGGGGAAUUUUGGACAAUGGGCGCAAGCCUGAUCCAGCCAUGCCGCGUGCGGGAAGAAGGCCUUCGGGUUGUAAACCGCUUUUGUCAGGGAAGAAAUCUUCUGAGUUAAUACCUCGGGAGGAUGACGGUACCUGAAGAAUAAGCACCGGCUAACUACGUGCCAGCAGCCGCGGUAAUACGUAGGGUGCAAGCGUUAAUCGGAAUUACUGGGCGUAAAGCGUGCGCAGGCGGUUUUGUAAGACAGAGGUGAAAUCCCCGGGCUCAACCUGGGAACUGCCUUUGUGACUGCAAGGCUUGAGUGCGGCAGAGGGGGAUGGAACUCCGCGUGUAGCAGUGAAAUGCGUAGAUAUGCGGAGGAACACCGAUGGCGAAGGCAAAUCCCCUGGGCCUGCACUGACGCUCAUGCACGAAAGCGUGGGGAGCAAACAGGAUUAGAUACCCUGGUAGUCCACGCCCUAAACGAUGUCAACUGGUUGUUGGGAAGGUUCCUUCUCAGUAACGUAGCUAACGCGUGAAGUUGNCCGCCUGGGGAGUACGGCCGCAAGGUU